GAUGAACGCUGACAGAAUGCUUAACACAUGCAAGUCUACUUGAAGCUAACUUCGGUUAGUGGAGGGUGGCGGACGGGUGAGUAACGCGUAAAGAACUUGCCUCGCAGUUUGGGACAACAUUUGGAAACGAAUGCUAAUACUAAAUAUUAUGAUACUUCUGCAUGGAAGAAUCAUGAAAGCUAUAUGCGCUGUGAGAGAGCUUUGCGUCCCAUUAGCUAGUUGGAGAGGUAACGGCUCACCAAGGCGAUGAUGGGUAGCCGGCCUGAGAGGGUGAACGGCCACAAGGGGACUGAGACACGGCCCUUACUCCUACGGGAGGCAGCAGUGGGGAAUAUUGGACAAUGGACCAAAAGUCUGAUCCAGCAAUUCUGUGUGCACGAUGAAGUUUUUCGGAAUGUAAAGUGCUUUCAGUUGGGAAGAAGCAAGUGACGGUACCAACAGAAGAAGCGACGGCUAAAUACGUGCCAGCAGCCGCGGUAAUACGUAUGUCGCAAGCGUUAUCCGGAUUUAUUGGGCGUAAAGCGCGUCUAGGUGGUUAUGUAAGUCUGAUGUGAAAAUGCGGGGCUCAACUCCGUAUUGCGUUGGAAACUGUAUGGCUAGAGUACUGGAGAGGUAAGCGGAACUACAAGUGUAGAGGUGAAAUUCGUAGAUAUUUGUAGGAAUGCCGAUGGGGAAGCCAGCUUACUGGACAGAUACUGACGCUAAAGCGCGAAAGCGUGGGUAGCAAACAGG
Molecule: ribosomal RNA, 732 nt
Filed under: uncultured bacterium
Lineage: Bacteria
Description: bacterial SSU rRNA
Rfam family: Bacterial small subunit ribosomal RNA
Source: RNAcentral